UUUGAAAUGUUGGAUACUCAAUAAGGGGUUAAGGUCGGAUUGUAUGUUCUGCGAGAAGUUAGGGUCACAACGAGUCAAUAUAUUGAACAACAUAUUGGAUAGGGAGCAUUCAUAUAUUAAAUAUGAAGAAUAACCCAUAAUUGAAUAAAGAUAGAGAGGUCGAGGAGCACAAAAUCUCAUAUAUGGUUGGGAGAAUGAAAAAGAUGUGGAACUAUGUGCUUGCAGGUCUAAAUAAGAAGGGAUCAAAAUCUAAA
RNAcentral lists this long non-coding RNA (254 nucleotides) under Lathyrus oleraceus (garden pea). RNAcentral describes it as "Pisum sativum (pea) long non-coding RNA (PSAT_LNC027721)". Lineage: Eukaryota; Viridiplantae; Streptophyta; Magnoliopsida; Fabales; Fabaceae. The record is from RNAcentral.